RNAcentral lists this ribosomal RNA (255 nucleotides) under uncultured bacterium. RNAcentral describes it as "partial 16S ribosomal RNA". It matches the Rfam family "Bacterial small subunit ribosomal RNA", at positions 524 to 777 of the family's 1533-position model. The record is from RNAcentral.
UACGAAGGGGGCUAGCGUUGCUCGGAAUCACUGGGCGUAAAGGGUGCGUAGGCGGGUCUUUAAGUCAGGGGUGAAAUCCUGGAGCUCAACUCCAGAACUGCCUUUGAUACUGAGGAUCUUGAGUUCGGGGAGAGGUGAGUGGAACUGCGAGUGUAGAGGUGAAAUUCGUAGAUAUUCGCAAGAACACCAGUGGCGAAGGCGGCUCACUGGCCCGAUACUGACGCUGAGGCACGAAAGCGUGGGGAGCAAACAGGG